RNAcentral lists this transfer RNA (49 nucleotides) under Duttaphrynus melanostictus (Asian common toad). RNAcentral describes it as "partial tRNA-Val". Lineage: Eukaryota; Metazoa; Chordata; Amphibia; Anura; Bufonidae. The record is from RNAcentral.
GCAUCUCGCUUACACCGAGAAAUUGUCCGUGAAAACCAGACUGUUUCGA